GUAGUUGAUCCUGGCUCAGGACGACGCUGGCGGCGUGCUUAACACAUGCAAGUCGAGCGAUGAAGCUUCCUUCGGGAAGUGGAUAGCGGCGGACGGGUGAGUAACACGUGGGUAACCUACCUCAAAGUGGGGGAUAGCCUCCCGAAAGGGAGAUUAAUACCCCAUAAUAUAAGAAAAUCGCAUGAUUAUCUUAUCAAAGAUUUAUCGCUUUGAGAUGGACCCGCGGCGCAUUAGCUAGUUGGUGGGGUAACGGCCUACCAAGGCAACGAUGCGUAGCCGACCUGAGAGGGUGAUCGGCCACAUUGGAACUGAGACACGGUCCAGACUCCUACGGGAGGCAGCAGUGGGGAAUAUUGCGCAAUGGGGGAAACCCUGACGCAGCAACGCCGCGUGGGUGAUGAAGGUCUUCGGAUGUAAAGCCCUGUUUUCUGGGACGAUAAUGACGGUACCAGAGGAGGAAGCCACGGCUAACUACGUG
Molecule: ribosomal RNA, 478 nt
Filed under: uncultured Clostridium sp.
Lineage: Bacteria; Bacillati; Bacillota; Clostridia; Eubacteriales; Clostridiaceae
Description: bacterial SSU rRNA
Rfam family: Bacterial small subunit ribosomal RNA
Source: RNAcentral